CUGCUGCCUCCCGUAGGAGUUUGGACCGUGUCUCAGUUCCAAUGUGGCCGAUCACCCUCUCAGGUCGGCUACUGAUCGUCGCCUUGGUGAGCCGUUACCUCACCAACAAGCUAAUCAGACGCGAGCUCAUCCAUAUCCGAUAAAUCUUUGAUGGAAAGAAGAUGCCUUCAAACCAUGUUAUGCGGUAUUAUCAGUCGUUUCCAACUGUUAUCCCCCAGAUAUGGGCAGAUUGCUCACG
This 238-nucleotide ribosomal RNA is filed under the name uncultured bacterium. RNAcentral's name for it is "partial 16S ribosomal RNA". The record is from RNAcentral.